This 550-nucleotide ribosomal RNA is filed under the name Colletotrichum sp. 1 ONH-2014. RNAcentral's name for it is "eukaryotic LSU rRNA". The stretch from base 213 to 366 matches the Rfam family "5.8S ribosomal RNA". Lineage: Eukaryota; Fungi; Ascomycota; Sordariomycetes; Glomerellales; Glomerellaceae. The record is from RNAcentral.
CUCCGUAGGGGAACCUGCGGAGGGAUCAUUACUGAGUUACCGCUCUAUAACCCUUUGUGAACAUACCUAACCGUUGCUUCGGCGGGCAGGGGAAGCCUCUCGCGGGCCUCCCCUCCCGGCGCCGGCCCCACCACGGGGACGGGGCGCCCGCCGGAGGAAACCAAACUCUAUUUACACGACGUCUCUUCUGAGUGGCACAAGCAAAUAAUUAAAACUUUUAACAACGGAUCUCUUGGUUCUGGCAUCGAUGAAGAACGCAGCGAAAUGCGAUAAGUAAUGUGAAUUGCAGAAUUCAGUGAAUCAUCGAAUCUUUGAACGCACAUUGCGCUCGCCAGCAUUCUGGCGAGCAUGCCUGUUCGAGCGUCAUUUCAACCCUCAAGCACCGCUUGGUUUUGGGGCCCCACGGCACACGUGGGCCCUUAAAGGUAGUGGCGGACCCUCCCGGAGCCUCCUUUGCGUAGUAACUAACGUCUCGCACUGGGAUUCGGAGGGACUCUUGCCGUAAAACCCCCCAAUUUUUUACAGGUUGACCUCGGAUCAGCGUAGGAAU